Megalopta genalis is the source of this 312-nucleotide non-coding RNA. NCBI's taxonomy places the organism in Eukaryota, Metazoa, Arthropoda, Insecta, Hymenoptera, Halictidae. The record is from RefSeq and is a predicted model, not a curated record.
AGACUGCUCUGAUAUGUGCUGCAGAAUGGUGAAGGAGAGAUCUCACAAAUGGGAUUGGAUGAUGCCACUCUGCAGUACAUUUUAGCAGAGCAGUCUUUGACAAUGCUCUGUCUCUGUCAUGUGCAGUUAAUUUCUAGCUCUGACUUAGAGCAUAUAUCUGGAAGCAGCAUCUGCUACUGUUGAAUAGUUCGAACAAAGAAGACUUAGAACCCUGCACCUAUAUAUAAUUUUUCUAUGAAUCCAAGAAACGCACGCACAUAUCAAAAUUGUAAAAAGAGAUCCAAAGGUAGUAAAAAAUGCUUCGCUCUGUAA